UACAGAGGUCUCAAGCGUUGUUCGGAUUCAUUGGGCGUAAAGGGUGCGUAGGCGGCGCGGUAAGUCGGGUGUGAAAUCUCGGAGCUUAACUCCGAAACUGCAUUCGAUACUGCCGUGCUUGAGGACUGGAGAGGAGACUGGAAUUUACGGUGUAGCGGUGAAAUGCGUAGAGAUCAGGAAGAACACCGGUGGCGAAAGCGUUCUGCUAGACCUGUACUGACACUGAGGGACGAAAGCUAGGGGAGCGAAUGGG
This 253-nucleotide ribosomal RNA is filed under the name uncultured bacterium. Its description in RNAcentral is "partial 16S ribosomal RNA". It matches the Rfam family "Bacterial small subunit ribosomal RNA", at positions 524 to 776 of the family's 1533-position model. The record is from RNAcentral.